Molecule: ribosomal RNA, 242 nt
Filed under: uncultured bacterium
Lineage: Bacteria
Description: partial 16S ribosomal RNA
Rfam family: Bacterial small subunit ribosomal RNA
Source: RNAcentral
CAAGCGUUGUUCGGAAUUACUGGGCGUAAAGGGCUCGUAGGUGGCCAACUAAGUCAUACGUGAAAUCCCUCGGCUUAACCGGGGAACUGCGUCUGAUACUGGAUGGCUUGAGGUUGGGAGAGGGAUGCGGAAUUCCAGGUGUAGCGGUGAAAUGCGCAGAUAUCAGGAAGAACACCCGUGGCUAAGGCGGCUCUCUAGUACGGUACUGACGCUGAGACGCGAAAGAGUGGGGAGCGAACAGG